This 377-nucleotide ribosomal RNA is filed under the name uncultured crenarchaeote. RNAcentral describes it as "bacterial SSU rRNA". It matches the Rfam family "Archaeal small subunit ribosomal RNA", at positions 505 to 883 of the family's 1478-position model. The record is from RNAcentral. Lineage: Archaea; Thermoproteati; Thermoproteota.
UUGGCCUAAGCGUCCGUAGCCGGCCGAGUAAGUUUCCCGUUAAAUCCAGCGUCUCAAGCGUUGGGCUGCGGGAAAUACUGCCCGGCUAGAGAGUGGGAGAGGUAAGCGGUAUUCUGGGGGUAGGGGCGAAAUCCUUUGAUCCCCGGAGGACCACCAGUGGCGAAGGCUGCUUACUAGAACACGUCUGACGGUCAGGGACGAAAGCUGGGGUAGCGAACCGGAUUAGAUACCCGGGUAGUCCCAGCCGUAAACGAUGCACGCUAGGUGUUGGGUCGGCCACGCGCCGCCCCAGUGCCGCAGGGAAGCCGUUAAGCGUGCCGCCUGGGGAGUACGGCCGCCAGGCUGAAACUUAAAGGAAUUGGCGGGGGAGCACAAGC